CCUACGGGAGGCAGCAGUGAGGAAUAUUGGUCACUGGGCGCGAGCCUGAACCAGCCAAGUCGCGUGAGGGAAGACGGUCCUAUGGAUUGUAAACCUCUUUUGUCGGGGAGCAAAAGACGCAACGCGUCGCGUUCCGCGUGUACCCGAAGAAAAAGCAUCGGCUAACUCCGUGCCAGCAACCGCGGUAAUACGGAGGAUGCGAGCGUUAUCCGGAUUUAUUGGGGUUAAAGGGUGGGCAGUCGGAAGAUGAAGUAAGCGGUACAAUUUAGGGGCUCAAGCGCUUCGAGCCGUUGAAACUGGUAUGGUUGAGUGGGCGAGAAGUAUGCGGAAUGCGUGGUGUAGCGGUGAAAUGCAGAGAUAGCACGCAGAACUCCGAUUGCGAAGGAAGCAUACCGGCGCUCAACUGACGCUCAGGCACGAAAGUGUGGGGAUCGAACAGGAUUAGAUACCCCAGUAGUC
Molecule: ribosomal RNA, 459 nt
Filed under: uncultured bacterium
Lineage: Bacteria
Description: partial 16S ribosomal RNA
Rfam family: Bacterial small subunit ribosomal RNA
Source: RNAcentral